UGCAUGCUUUUACAGUAUGAAAAUUGGUGAUUUAUAAUAACUUAGCAAAUCGCAUAGUGAAAACAGGCGAUAAAUCAUUCAAGUUUCUGACCUAUCAGCUUUCGACGGUAUGGUAUUGGCUUACCGUGGCAGUGACGGUUAACGGGGGAUUAGGGUUCGAUUCCGGAGAGGGAGCCUGAGAAACGGCUACCACAUCUAAGGAAGGCAGCAGGCGCGCAAAUUACCCAAUUCUAACAGUUUGAGAGAGGUAGUAACAAGAAAUAACAAUACAAGGCAGUUAAAAUGCUUUGUAAUUGGAAUGAUAGAAAUUUAAACCCUUUUUAAAGUAUCAAUUGGAGGGCAAGUCUGGUGCCAGCAGCCGCGGUAAUUCCAGCUCCAAUAGCGUAUAUUAAAAUUGUUGCAGUUAAAAAGCUCGUAGUUGAAGUUCUGCUAAAAGUAACCGGUCUGCUUUGAAUAAAAGUGGUAUCUUGGUAUGUAUUUAGCAAUGAUGUCCUUUGAAGUGUUUUUUACUUUAUUGUAAUAAAGCAUAUUCAGGACUUUUACUUUGAGAAAAUUAGAGUGUUUCUAGCAGGCCAACGCUUUGAAUACUGCAG
RNAcentral lists this ribosomal RNA (593 nucleotides) under Hepatozoon canis. RNAcentral describes it as "SSU rRNA". It matches the Rfam family "Eukaryotic small subunit ribosomal RNA", at positions 225 to 807 of the family's 1831-position model. The record is from RNAcentral. Lineage: Eukaryota; Apicomplexa; Hepatozoidae.